GCGGAUGUGGCGGAAUUGGUAGACGCGCACGGUUCAGGUCCGUGUGGGGGUAACCCCGUGGAGGUUCAAGUCCUCUCAUCCGCA
RNAcentral lists this transfer RNA (84 nucleotides) under Actinomycetes bacterium. Its description in RNAcentral is "Actinobacteria bacterium tRNA-Leu". It matches the Rfam family "tRNA". From Rfam's summary of the family: Transfer RNA (tRNA) molecules are approximately 80 nucleotides in length. Their secondary structure includes four short double-helical elements and three loops (D, anti-codon, and T loops). Lineage: Bacteria; Bacillati; Actinomycetota; Actinomycetes. The record is from RNAcentral. RNAcentral also lists the same sequence under 5 other names.